Molecule: long non-coding RNA, 1626 nt
Organism: Numida meleagris (helmeted guineafowl)
Lineage: Eukaryota; Metazoa; Chordata; Aves; Galliformes; Numididae
Source: Ensembl
CAUUUGCACAGUUUCACAGAUAUCCUCCAUGUCUCAUCUCUCCCCUUUAAUUGUUCACUGUUGUCCUGUUCACCUUUAUCCCAUUCAAAAAAGACAGUAACAGACAGAGGCAGCAGAGGGGUGAUAAAGAAAAACAAAAACCUUCAUCCUCUUUCCCCUUCUGCCCCAGCUUCUGUUUUUCACUGUUUUAUUUGAUAUUUUUUUAAAAAGCUGAUUUUGCACCAAAAAAAUAUUACCAAAAAUGCAUUCUAUCAAGCAUUAAGCCAAUUUAUAAAACUGUACCAAUGUGAAAAGCAGUGAGCUCAUCCAACUUUGAGCACACUGGCAGCACCAGGGCUGGGUUCAGGUGACUGAGGCUGCUCAUCACAAGGGAUAAUGCCAUCAGCUGCAUCCCACCCAGAAUUCUUGGUCUAAUUACUUCCCUGGAGUGCCCUUGCAGACAACACUUCCCACUUGCAGCUCUCUUUGACCCUCUUUGAUUUCUUCUUUGUUCCACUCAAUUUUACUCUUGAACCACUUCUGAGUUCACGCACACAAAUUUCCUCUCCCGCCGGAGCACUUCUCUGCAAAAUAAUUACCUCAUGCAGAUGAAACAUGCUGAGGCUGAGCUACUCCUCGGCUGCAGCGGCGGAUGGCAGAGGAAUCGCUGCUGUUCUGCUGCUUCGUGCCAAGACUCGACCUGCCCGGAGCUCCCCGCUGCGCCCCGCUGACACUGCUGGAUGCAGCUGCUCUCUGCCCCAUGUCUGCAUGCUCUGGAAGCUGAUGGGAGGAACCCCCGGGGUUUUGCCAUUCACUCCAGACACUUUCCUGCAUUCAGUCCCAGCCAUGCUGGUAAAUCAGCCUGUGUCCCACUCGCCUCCUCCCCUGUUUCCUUCCCUACCAGGAACACGUUCCAGCUGCAGGAUGGCAGCAGCAGGCCCUGCACUGUGCCCAGCACUGGUGGCUCCUGCACUAAUGUCCCUACAGCGCUGGCAGCAAUUCCAUCUGAAGUAGCUAAUAACUUGCUGAUUGUAAAACUGUGUGCUAGAGAUACAUUUGGAGGAACGUAAUUAGAGAGAGGUAUUUGCUUUCGACGUUGCAUACCAAUCUCUCUCUCCCAAUCUCCAUAAACAUGAGACUUGAAAUGAUGUAGCACAGAGUUGUGUUUAUUUAUCCGCUGCUGAAAUGGGACAGCAUAGAGCUGUACAACGUGCUCCCAUUUCUCAGAGUAUCAGCUGUAUAUCUGCAGUGGCUGCAAGACAGAAACAUUUCAGCCCAGCAGUUAAACACACAACUGGGAAUGGGCCCUGAACGAACUGACGUGUUCCACUCGGAGCACAGCACGGGAACACAGCUUUUCCCAGAGAGGAUUGGCAGCUGCUUCAGGGUGGGCUCGCUGCAGUCUGGAGCCAUGGAGACAACACACAGUCAUUGAUUUCUACUGCAGAAGAAUGCUGCAGCUCUGCUUUGGCUCGGCAGCCCAGCCGCUCUCAGGGUGCACCUUCCUUCCCUCUGCUGACAGCCAGGCUCCUGCUUUAACUUCUCAAGAACAAUACCUCAUAUGGACUUACUCCAGAAUUUCUUAGCUGUGUUCUAGUUUCGAAGUAUUACAAAAAAAAUAUUACAGCUACAGACACCUCGUCCAAG